GAUGAACGCUGGCGGCGUGCCUAAUACAUGCAAGUCGAGCGAACGGACGAGAAGCUUGCUUCUCUGAUGUUAGCGGCGGACGGGUGAGUAACACGUGGAUAACCUACCUAUAAGACUGGGAUAACUUCGGGAAACCGGAGCUAAUACCGGAUAAUAUUUUGAACCGCAUGGUUCAAAAGUGAAAGACGGUCUUGCUGUCACUUAUAGAUGGAUCCGCGCUGCAUUAGCUAGUUGGUAAGGUAACGGCUUACCAAGGCAACGAUGCAUAGCCGACCUGAGAGGGUGAUCGGCCACACUGGAACUGAGACACGGUCCAGACUCCUACGGGAGGCAGCAGUAGGGAAUCUUCCGCAAUGGGCGAAAGCCUGACGGAGCAACGCCGCGUGAGUGAUGAAGGUCUUCGGAUCGUAAAACUCUGUUAUUAGGGAAGAACAUAUGUGUAAGUAACUGUGCACAUCUUGACGGUACCUAAUCAGAAAGCCACGGCUAACUGCGUGCCAGCAGCCGCGGUAAUACGUAGGUGGCAAGCGUUAUCCGGAAUUAUUGGGCGUAAAGCGCGCGUAGGCGGUUUUUUAAGUCUGAUGUGAAAGCCCACGGCUCAACCGUGGAGGGUCAUUGGAAACUGGAAAACUUGAGUGCAGAAGAGGAAAGUGGAAUUCCAUGUGUAGCGGUGAAAUGCGCAGAGAUAUGGAGGAACACCAGUGGCGAAGGCGACUUUCUGGUCUGUAACUGACGCUGAUGUGCGAAAGCGUGGGGAUCAAACAGGAUUAGAUACCCUGGUAGUCCACGCCGUAAACGAUGAGUGCUAAGUGUUAGGGGGUUUCCGCCCCUUAGUGCUGCAGCUAACGCAUUAAGCACUCCGCCUGGGGAGUACGACCGCAAGGUUGAAACUCAAAGGAAUUGACGGGGACCCGCACAAGCGGUGGAGCAUGUGGUUUAAUUCGAAGCAACGCGAAGAACCUUACCAAAUCUUGACAUCCUUUGACAACUCUAGAGAUAGAGCUUUCCCCUUCGGGGGACAAAGUGACAGGUGGUGCAUGGUUGUCGUCAGCUCGUGUCGUGAGAUGUUGGGUUAAGUCCCGCAACGAGCGCAACCCUUAAGCUUAGUUGCCAUCAUUAAGUUGGGCACUCUAAGUUGACUGCCGGUGACAAACCGGAGGAAGGUGGGGAUGACGUCAAAUCAUCAUGCCCCUUAUGAUUUGGGCUACACACGUGCUACAAUGGACAAUACAAAGGGCAGCGAAACCGUGAGGUCAAGCAAAUCCCAUAAAGUUGUUCUCAGUUCGGAUUGUAGUCUGCAACUCGACUACAUGAAGCUGGAAUCGCUAGUAAUCGUAGAUCAGCAUGCUACGGUGAAUACGUUCCCGGGUCU
This 1372-nucleotide ribosomal RNA is filed under the name uncultured bacterium. RNAcentral describes it as "bacterial SSU rRNA". It matches the Rfam family "Bacterial small subunit ribosomal RNA", at positions 28 to 1381 of the family's 1533-position model. The record is from RNAcentral.